This 445-nucleotide ribosomal RNA is filed under the name uncultured bacterium. Its description in RNAcentral is "bacterial SSU rRNA". It matches the Rfam family "Bacterial small subunit ribosomal RNA", at positions 354 to 796 of the family's 1533-position model. The record is from RNAcentral.
GUAAGGAAUAUUGGACAAUGGACGCAAGUCUGAUCCAGCCAUGCCGCGUGAAGGAUUAAGGUCCUCUGGAUUGUAAACUUCUUUUAUAAGGGACGAAAAAAGGCUUUUCUAAGUCGUCUGACGGUACCUUAUGAAUAAGCACCGGCUAACUCCGUGCCAGCAGCCGCGGUAAUACGGAGGGUGCAAGCGUUAUCCGGAUUCACUGGGUUUAAAGGGUGCGUAGGCGGGCAGGUAAGUCAGUGGUGAAAUCCUAGAGCUUAACUCUAGAACUGCCAUUGAUACUGUCUGUCUUGAAUAUUGUGGAGGUAAGCGGAAUAUGUCAUGUAGCGGUGAAAUGCUUAGAUAUGACAUAGAACACCUAUUGCGAAGGCAGCUUACUACGCAUAUAUUGACGCUGAGGCACGAAAGCGUGGGGAUCAAACAGGAUUAGAUACCCUGGUAGUCC